UGGGGAAUUUUGGACAAUGGGCGAAAGCCUGAUCCAGCAAUGCCGCGUGUGUGAAGAAGGCCUUCGGGUUGUAAAGCACUUUUGUCCGGAAAGAAAUCCUUGGCUCUAAUACAGUCGAGGGAUGACGGUACCGGAAGAAUAAGCACCGGCUAACUACGUGCCAGCAGCCGCGGUAAUACGUAGGGUGCAAGCGUUAAUCGGAAUUACUGGGCGUAAAGCGUGCGCAGGCGGUUUGCUAAGACCGAUGUGAAAUCCCCGGGCUCAACCUGGGAACUGCAUUGGUGACUGGCAGGCUAGAGUAUGGCAGAGGGGGGUAGAAUUCCACGUGUAGCAGUGAAAUGCGUAGAGAUGUGGAGGAAUACCGAUGGCGAAGGCAGCCCCCCUGGGCCAAUACUGACGCUCAUGCACGAAAGCGUGGGGAGCAAACAGGAUUAGAUACCCUGGUAGUCCACGCCCUAAACGAUGUCAACUAGUUGUUGGGGGACUUCAUUUUCCUUAGUAACGUAGCUAACGCGUGAAGUUGACCGCCUGGGGGAGUACGGUCGCAAGAUUAAAACUC
This 559-nucleotide ribosomal RNA is filed under the name uncultured bacterium. Its description in RNAcentral is "partial 16S ribosomal RNA". It matches the Rfam family "Bacterial small subunit ribosomal RNA", at positions 355 to 902 of the family's 1533-position model. The record is from RNAcentral.